UACGUAGGGGGCAAGCGUUGUCCGGAUUUAUUGGGCGUAAAGAGCUCGUAGGUGGUUCGGUAAGCCGGAUGUGAAAUCUCCAGGCUCAACCUGGAGGGGUCAUUCGAUACUGCCGUGACUAGAGGUCGGUAGGGGAGUGUGGAAUUCCUGGUGGAGCGGUGAAAUGCGCAGAUAUCAGGAGGAACACCCGUAGCGAAGGCGGCACUCUGGGCCGAUACUGACACUGAGGAGCGAAAGCGUGGGGAGCGAACAGG
This 254-nucleotide ribosomal RNA is filed under the name uncultured bacterium. RNAcentral describes it as "partial 16S ribosomal RNA". It matches the Rfam family "Bacterial small subunit ribosomal RNA", at positions 524 to 776 of the family's 1533-position model. The record is from RNAcentral.